UUUUAUCUGGCACUGUAUCUACAUUAGUUUAAUUAACGUGUUAAACAUUAGGUUCGUAAGAUUAAAAAGUACUAUGAUACGGAAUGCUUAAACAUGAACAAUGCCUCGUUGACUUUAGCAAUAAACCUGUAAAACAUACUUUAAUAUCAUCGGAAAUCCGAGAAAUCGAAAAAUCAUUUGAUCAAGGAGUAAAAUUAAGAUCUUUUUAGGGAUAGGAAUGGCGCUGAUAACAAGGCUCUAACUUUUAUUAUGCUGAACGCCAUGGAUUCACGUCUGUAUGACACUAGCUUCUCUCUAUUGAUGUCAAAUCCCAUUCAGUUCGAGAACUUUUUCUGUUGAUAUCAAAUGAUUAUAUGAAGAUAAUUUUAAAAAGGAUAAAAGCGAGUGGAUCAUUUCAUUAGCCAUGUUGUUUGCUACGGAACUGGAAGAAGCGUAUUUCUUAAUUAACUUAAAUGAUAAACUUGUUUUUAUCAUUUAAUUUGUAUUUACAAUGAAAAACCAAUUACAUCAUAAAAUGUAUAUGAAAUACAGUUAAACUUAAUAAAAUAAAUA
Centruroides sculpturatus (bark scorpion) is the source of this 552-nucleotide long non-coding RNA. RefSeq lists it as uncharacterized. The transcript has 3 exons. NCBI's taxonomy places the organism in Eukaryota, Metazoa, Arthropoda, Arachnida, Scorpiones, Buthidae. The record is from RefSeq and is a predicted model, not a curated record.